GCCGUAGCGCAGAGGUCGUCGCAUCGCCCUGCACAGGCGAAGGACGCCGGUUCGAAUCCGGCCGGC
This 66-nucleotide transfer RNA is filed under the name Actinoplanes sp. SE50/110. It matches the Rfam family "tRNA". Rfam says of the family: Transfer RNA (tRNA) molecules are approximately 80 nucleotides in length. Their secondary structure includes four short double-helical elements and three loops (D, anti-codon, and T loops). Further hydrogen bonds mediate the characteristic L-shaped molecular structure. tRNAs have two regions of fundamental functional importance: the anti-codon, which is responsible for specific mRNA codon recognition, and the 3' end, to which the tRNAs corresponding amino acid is attached (by aminoacyl-tRNA synthetases). tRNAs cope with the degeneracy of the genetic code in two manners: having more than one tRNA (with a specific anti-codon) for a particular amino acid; and 'wobble' base-pairing, i.e. permitting non-standard base-pairing at the 3rd anti-codon position. Lineage: Bacteria; Bacillati; Actinomycetota; Actinomycetes; Micromonosporales; Micromonosporaceae. The record is from Rfam by way of RNAcentral.